AGCGAACGCUGGCGGCAGGCUUAACACAUGCAAGUCGAACGGGCACCUUCGGGUGUCAGUGGCAGACGGGUGAGUAACACGUGGGAACGUGCCCUUCGGUUCGGAACAACUCAGGGAAACUUGAGCUAAUACCGGGAUACGCCCUUACGGGGAAAGGAUUAUCGCUGAAGGAGCGGCCCGCGUCUGAUUAGCUAGUUGGUGAGGUAAUGGCUCACCAAGGCGACGAUCAGUAGCNGGUCUGAGAGGAUGAUCAGCCACACUGGGACUGAGACACGGCCCAGACUCCUACGGGAGGCAGCAGUGGGAAUAUUGGACAAUGGGCGAAAGCCUGAUCCAGCCAUGCCGCGUGAGUGAUGAAGGCCUUAGGGUUGUAAAGCUCUUUUGUCCGGGAAGAUAAUGACUGUACCGGAAGAUAAGCCCCGGCUAACUUCGUGCCAGCCGCCGCGGU
Molecule: ribosomal RNA, 448 nt
Filed under: uncultured bacterium
Lineage: Bacteria
Description: bacterial SSU rRNA
Rfam family: Bacterial small subunit ribosomal RNA
Source: RNAcentral